UAAGGAAUAUUGGUCAAUGGACGCAAGUCUGAACCAGCCAUGCCGCGUGGAGGAUGAAGGCCCUCUGGGUUGUAAACUUCUUUUAUAGGGGACGAAACCUCUUUUUCUUGAGAGACUGACGGUACCCUAGGAAUAAGCACCGGCUAACUCCGUGCCAGCAGCCGCGGUAAUACGGAGGGUGCAAGCGUUAUCCGGAUUCACUGGGUUUAAAGGGUGCGUAGGCGGGCAGGUAAGUCAGUGGUGAAAUCUCCGGGCUUAACUCGGAAACUGCCGUUGAUACUAUCUGUCUUGAAUUCUGUGGAGGUGAGCGGAAUAUGUCAUGUAGCGGUGAAAUGCUUAGAUAUGACAUAGAACACCAAUUGCGAAGGCAGCUCACUACACAGCGAUUGACGCUGAGGCA
RNAcentral lists this ribosomal RNA (400 nucleotides) under uncultured bacterium. Its description in RNAcentral is "bacterial SSU rRNA". It matches the Rfam family "Bacterial small subunit ribosomal RNA", at positions 355 to 753 of the family's 1533-position model. The record is from RNAcentral.